This 254-nucleotide ribosomal RNA is filed under the name uncultured bacterium. RNAcentral describes it as "partial 16S ribosomal RNA". It matches the Rfam family "Bacterial small subunit ribosomal RNA", at positions 15 to 245 of the family's 1533-position model. The record is from RNAcentral.
GAUCCUGGCUCAGGACGAACGCUGGCGGCGUGCUUAACACAUGCAAGUCGAACGAGAGGAGAAGGAAGCUUGCUUCUUUCAAAUCUAGUGGCAAACGGGUGAGUAACACGUAAACAACCUGCCUUCAGGAUGGGGACAACAGACGGAAACGACUGCUAAUACCGAAUACGUUCCUUAGGUCGCAUGACUUUAGGAAGAAAGGGUGGCCUCUACUUGUAAGCUAUCGCCUGAAGAGGGGUUUGCGUCUGAUUAGG